This is a long non-coding RNA of Oxyura jamaicensis (ruddy duck), 149 nucleotides long. RefSeq lists it as uncharacterized. NCBI's taxonomy places the organism in Eukaryota, Metazoa, Chordata, Aves, Anseriformes, Anatidae. The transcript has 3 exons. The record is from RefSeq and is a predicted model, not a curated record.
ACCAGGACAAUCUUUGUCACUAUGGUUGAUGUUAAUAAAGAAGGGGGAUAUGUGGGAGUGUGGCCAUGGGGGUCGACAAGCCCCAUGGUUGGUGAUAACAUCGAGCUCUUAAUGAUGAGGCCAGCAGGAAUGUAAAGCUUAGAGGGAAC